CCGCAACCCCUGCAUUUCAGUUGCCAACGGUAAGGCCGGGCGACUCUGGAUGGACUGCCGGCGACAAGCCGGAGGAAGGUGGGGAUGGACGUCAAGUCAUCAUGGCCCUUACUGUCCCAGGGCGACACACGUGCUACGAAUGGACCGGGCACAGCGGGAAGCGAGGGGGCGACCUUGAGCGGAUCCCUCAAAGACCGGUCUCAGUUCGGAUUGCAGUCUGCAACUCGACUGCAUGAAGUUGGAAUCGCUAGUAAUCGUGGAUCAGCCAAGCCGCGGUGAAUACGUUCCCGGGCCUU
Molecule: ribosomal RNA, 296 nt
Filed under: uncultured Thermovirga sp.
Lineage: Bacteria; Thermotogati; Synergistota; Synergistia; Synergistales; Thermovirgaceae
Description: partial 16S ribosomal RNA
Rfam family: Bacterial small subunit ribosomal RNA
Source: RNAcentral